AACGAACGCUGGCGGCGCGUCUUAAGCAUGCAAGUCGAACGGCAAGAGAGGAGCUUGCUUCUCUCCUAGAGUGGCGGACUGGUGAGGAACACGUGGGUAAUCUACCCUUAAGAUGGGGAUAGCUGCUAGAAAUAGCAGGUAAUACCGAAUACACUCGGCAUAUCACAAGAGGUGUUGAGGAAAGGAAGCUACGGCUUCGCUUGAGGAUGAGCUUGCGUCCCAUUAGCUAGUUGGUGAGGUAAAGGCCCACCAAGGCGACGAUGGGUAUCCGGCCUGAGAGGGUGAACGGACACAUUGGGACUGAGAUACGGCCCAGACUCCUACGGGAGGCAGCAGCUAAGAAUAUUCCGCAAUGGACGGAAGUCUGACGGAGCGACGCCGCGUGGAUGAAGAAGGCUGAAAAGUUGUAAAAUCCUUUUGUUGAUGAAGAAUAAGGGUGAGAGGGAAUGCUCAUCUGAUGACGGUAAUCGACGAAUAAGCCCCGGCUAAUUACGUG
This 496-nucleotide ribosomal RNA is filed under the name uncultured bacterium. RNAcentral describes it as "partial 16S ribosomal RNA". It matches the Rfam family "Bacterial small subunit ribosomal RNA", at positions 29 to 507 of the family's 1533-position model. The record is from RNAcentral.